AUUCAUUCCUGGGAUCCAGGCUGGGCACUCCGGAAGCCACUGUGCUUCGCAGAGCAGGCAGCUUCUCCGAUGUGACCGUGAAGUCGCUUUAAAGAAAGGUUCAGGGAACUUGCUUUGUGGCCGGCGGAGGCCUGCCCUGCGAAUGCAGCAAGUGUAGCGGCCACACAGGAGACGCCGGCUCUCCUAGCCUGCGCACAGAUCUGCCUCCACCAGACCGGCCUUAGAGAACGUCGGGGAAACGCCAGGAAGCAGGAGCAUAUGCCGUUCACACAAAAAGCAUCUCCAACAACGACCGCGGCAGCCCCCGCGCCCACCCGGGAAGCCGCGCAGAGCCCGGCGCCGCGGCGCCCUGGGAGGAGGCUCUGCCAAGCGUGCUGACACAGCUGAACAGUCGUAGAACGUCAUGAACAGUCCCAGGAGUUCCAGAGGAUGAAUGAAGUGUGCACACAAACACAGCCCAGCAGAA
Non-coding RNA from Microcebus murinus (gray mouse lemur), 466 nucleotides. The record is from RefSeq and is a predicted model, not a curated record. NCBI's taxonomy places the organism in Eukaryota, Metazoa, Chordata, Mammalia, Primates, Cheirogaleidae.